This 254-nucleotide ribosomal RNA is filed under the name uncultured bacterium. RNAcentral's name for it is "partial 16S ribosomal RNA". It matches the Rfam family "Bacterial small subunit ribosomal RNA", at positions 524 to 777 of the family's 1533-position model. The record is from RNAcentral.
GACGGAGGAUGCAAGCGUUAUCCGGAAUGAUUGGGCGUAAAGCGUCCGCAGGUGGCAGUUCAAGUCUGCUGUCAAAGACCGGGGCUUAACUUCGGAAAGGCAGUGGAAACUGAACAGCUAGAGUAUGGUAGGGGCAGAGGGAAUUCCUGGUGUAGCGGUGAAAUGCGUAGAGAUCAGGAAGAACAUCGGUGGCGAAGGCGCUCUGCUGGACCAUAACUGACGCUGAGGAGCGAAAGCGUGGGGAGCGAACAAGA